UCUACGGGAGGCAGCAGUAGGGAAUCUUCCGCAAUGGACGAAAGUCUGACGGAGCAACGCCGCGUGAGUGAUGAAGGUUUUCGGAUCGUAAAGCUCUGUUGUUAGGGAAGAACAAGUGCGAGAGUAACUGCUCGCACCUUGACGGUACCUAACCAGAAAGCCACGGCUAACUACGUGCCAGCAGCCGCGGUAAUA
RNAcentral lists this ribosomal RNA (195 nucleotides) under uncultured bacterium. Its description in RNAcentral is "partial 16S ribosomal RNA". It matches the Rfam family "Bacterial small subunit ribosomal RNA", at positions 338 to 525 of the family's 1533-position model. The record is from RNAcentral.